Molecule: long non-coding RNA, 2094 nt
Organism: Pezoporus occidentalis (night parrot)
Lineage: Eukaryota; Metazoa; Chordata; Aves; Psittaciformes; Psittacidae
Exons: 3
Source: RefSeq, a predicted model, not a curated record
UUUUAAUACCGGUUUUCCUUAGCGGGACCCACCACCACUCUCUCCUUUGGGUUUGACGCACUACCUCCCUGCUCGUCCUUCUUUUUCGGUUUGAGAUGCGAGCGGGGAAGGAGCGGGGCCCCGGGGGCCGUUCUUUGAAAGCAUCAGGGCAUUAAUGCAGCUUUAGACAUUAAGUCGCUCGAUUAAUUGUUUUCUUACGACCAGUCUACUGGCGACCGGCUUCUUCCCGCGCCGUCGCGGUCGCUGCCGGGGCAGCCGUGCCCGGGAGGGAGAUCCCCAGGUUUGUUGCUCGCCGGGAGCAGGCAGAGGUUUCCUCGCCUUCAAACUGCCGCGAUGAAGUUAGCAAAAAUUACAGGUGAUGCCGUUUGCACUGCUCGCUGCGAGACCAAACCUAAAUAAACCCGCAACAAUUACGGUUUUUAAUGAACCCCUCGCAACCAGCGGCUGCUGGAAGUAAAGUUGCAGCUGCUGCCCAAGUACUAAAGGCAGCUAUGAGCCAUGCCUGUGAGGAUUGCUCACCCAAAGCCCUUCAGAGAACUGGGAAUCUCAGGAAUGCUAAUGCCCUUAUGGGAAGCCAAGUGAUGGGAACCGCUGAUGGAGUCUAUGAGCAACAAAUUUAUGUUAAGUUAUGAUUAUGAUGCUGCAGAGCUUGUCCUUUUCCAAAUGAAGCCUGUUAUUUGAGAAGAAUGGCAACUUCCUGAACAACAAACAUGCAGUGAAUCCAUGUGGGUUUCCCAGAUAGCCCUUUCCACUAGCUCCCCACAGUAGGAACCAUCAUCUUGUGUGUUCAGAAAUAUUUUAGUUGGGCAGAAAUUCCCAGAUGCAUGUCUCCAGGCAUCUGACACCCCUUGCCUUCCUCAGUGACAGCUGUUUGCUUUCCAGCUUCCUGGCUGAGGAGGGGAAUUUUGCCCAUCUAUGCUUCAAAUGGCUCUAAAGGGUUCACAAGACUACCUAGAUGCUGCGGAAGGUCCAUUUUGCUGACAGGAUCCACUGUAUUUGUGCCAAAGCUCCUGAAGCUUGUUUGCAGCUUCGACCCUCCCUGAGCUUGUAAAAGGGCAUAAGCAAUUCACUGUCCCUGAACAGUAGGUCCUUAUUCUUCAGCUGUCAUCCUCGUACUUGAGCACUCCAUCUCUCUAAAUCAAAGUCCUUUUCUUGUCCCUCCACCACUGUCGAAGGAACAAAAUAUUUUGAGGCUUCCUCUGUUUAUGGAUGGCUUUUUGUCAUCAUUGUAAAAAAUGCUGAAAUAAAACUAAAGGUAAUAUGCCAAUAUUAUACUCCAUUCUGAAAUGUUAGCUGCUGGAACACUUGUGUGCUCAACUACACAGCAGAUAGCACUUUUGUGUGCAUUUUUCUGCUUACUGCAUUGACUGGAUUUUUUUUUGAUCUGAUUAACUUGUUCUGCUAUAAAAAAAUACCAUCAGCACUCCUCAGAUAGAGCAAGGCAUCAAUACAUUUCAUUUGUUCUCUAAGCCAAAACCACACAUGGGUGAAUAACAGUGCAAGAGCAAUAGGUGAAGUACAAGAGGCUUCUGGUUCUGGUAGACAGCAGGAUGAGAACUUAUUUUUAUGAUUUUUCCCGGGGAAGCAGCCGCUUCACAUUUACCCUUUUUGUUUCUUAAAAACAAAAGAACAAUAGCUAUACUGGUUAGCGGGGCUAUUGUCCCUCUGCGCCAAAUGUAUGAAAUCUUACUGCUUACAUGAGCAUCUGAGGUAUUUCUCUGCAUUCUGCUUGUGCUCCUUUGUAUCGCUCUGCUGAGAUUUCUUGCAUUUAUUCCCUUCUUUCCAGUAUUUUUCACACCUGUUUCUCUCAUGUUUCUUUUGCCCUCCAUUCAUAUGCUCUUGCUGGUCUGUUUUUGAAAGGGUGUAGUUUGUGCUGAAGGUAAACCCAUCAUUUAAACUGUGUUGAAAACAUAACUAUGUCAAGAUCACAUCAGAACUGUUAAAACAUUAACCAUUAAAACAUUCUAACAGUGAUAAAAUCUUGGCAUGAUUGGCCAGAUCUUCAGGAGAUCUGAAGGAGCAUCAAGAUAUUUCUGAAGGUAUUUCCACCUAGUGAAAAACCUCUGUUUGGCAACACUUGCCUGUCCUUGACUA